Molecule: ribosomal RNA, 254 nt
Filed under: uncultured bacterium
Lineage: Bacteria
Description: partial 16S ribosomal RNA
Rfam family: Bacterial small subunit ribosomal RNA
Source: RNAcentral
UACGUAGGGGGCAAGCGUUGUCCGGAUUUAUUGGGCGUAAAGGGCUUGUAGGUGGCCACGCCAAGUCGGAUGUGAAAUCUCCCGGCUCAACUGGGGAGGGUCAUUCGAUACUGUUCGACUCGAAGGCAGGAGAGGGAAGUGGAAUUCCCGGUGUAGUUGUGAAAUGCGUAGAUAUCGGGAGGAACACCAGUGGCGAAGGCGACUUCCUGGCCUGUUCUUGACGCUGAGGCGCGAAAGCUAGGGGAGCAAACGGG